GAGAGAAGAGAAAAAAAAAUUGUGAGAGUGAGAUUGAGUCGUAAAGUAUAUGAAGUCCAUUUACUGACGCAAGAGAAGUGGAAGAAGUAUCAAUGUAAUUGUUGAGUUUUAAUUAACGACUUGAAUUGGAAAACAAUUAACCAACAAUCAACGAAUAUUGUUCAUCGUAAUUCGCAAUUAAAUCAGUGUUUUUUCUUGUAUUUAUCAUCGAUUGUCUCUCUACAUUAUCAUGAAUCAUUCUCACUGUUUCUCUCUCUCACUUUGUCGAUAUAAUUUUUUUUCUGGUGAAAAGUGAUUCUUGUUAAUUGAGUUAAUUGAGUUUCAUAUGUAAAUGCAUGAUUGUGAUGGUCAAGACAGUUUGAUUGUCCAUUGAAUUUUCAUUUCCAUUGAAAACAAAAUUCUAUUCAUUUAAUUGUUUCACAAUCUUAAUUCUCCAUCAUCUUCACCAACAUGAAAUCAUCUUCUUCAUCAUCUUCUUCCUCUCUCAUUGUCAUGCGCAUCUUUUUAACCUCAUCGACAUUUUCACCUUCCCAAAUCAAUCUCAAUGUUCAUCAUCAUCAUCACCAUUUCCAUCCCGAAUAAUCAACUGUAAUUACACCAACAUCUUAAAUUGUAAUUAGUACAACUUGUGAUUCUUUUGAUGAACCAUUUUCAUUUUCUCUCUAUUACCAAAUAAGUGAUAAUUUUUGUGCAAAACGGAUAACAAAACCAUCACCAACUUUCAGCAUCUCUUUUAGCAUCCUCAUCAUCUCGAUCCACCACCAGAUCUUUCAGAUGAAAAUGGUUAACAUAAUCGCUGAUUGAUUCACGACCAAUUGGAUAGAGUGGAUUAGCUGGAUAAAGAGAUUUGUUUAUACAUAAAUAGGACAUUUUCAGAUGGGCUCUUCUUUUCACCAUUCAACUAUAUUAGUUGAUUCAUUUCGAGCUUGAAGAGAAAAUCAAUUUGUACAUUUGACAGGAGAACAUUUUAAAUAUCGAUAAUGUCUUUUUCCUAUCGAUAAGUUUCUAUACUUUAAUUGUGGAAUCGAUAAUAAUCAUUUUAGAUGAACAAAAUUGAUUGUUUACGAUUCGAGAUUAUACAUGUUAGGUUACGGAAGAUUAAUCAAUCGACGGGAAAAUUAAUGGCCUAAGAAUCCGUUCUUAUAGACUCGUGGCAUAGAUAUUAAUAUAUCAUCUUGAAAAUACAAAAUCAACAUAGGAAUCUAUGGGAAUGUGAUAACAUUUAAUUGAUGGAAACAGGUAAAAACCUUGAACUGGAUUAGUUAAUGAUUUUGAGUCAAUUAUGAAAUAACAAUGAAUUGUUUCACAUGAAUGAAAAACUUGAACGUUUUUUUUUUGAUCAAUUAGUUGAUUGUCAAUUCUAAUCACUGUAAAUCUUUUGCACCUCAUCAAUUUAAACAUGAUACAAGUCUCGCAAUUUUAACACCUCAUUAACAAUAUUAUGAAUACCAAUGGGUGAUAAUGUUAUUACAUAAACUGUCGGUGAUAAUAACUCUUGGAAUUAUUAAUCACCUUAUACACCAGUUAAUCAUCUCAAUCCUUUUUCUAUGUUAAUCACCGUAAAUCACAAUAAAUUAACAACAAUUGAAGAUGAUCCGCCAUCCCAACAGGAGAUUUAACCGGUUAUCCACCUGGAGAUGACCAAAAUGACCAAUGGUGACCCAAAGAAAAGUCAAACGAGCAAAAAAAAGGAAAGGUAAGUAAACCUUUUUUUGUUCAUUCUCGAACUACAAACCCAAUGAAAUUUAGAUUUAUAAAUGUAACUCGAAACUUUGUACAAACAAUUAACUGAUUCAAUGAUUCCAAUGGAAAUUGAUUUAUCAUCUGUUGAUAAUGAUGAACAAUUAACAGCAGAUUAAUUGCAAUUAAUAUUUUUAUCAUUCUCUCUCCUUUAUUAGUACAACUGUUUUCAACAAUUGAAACUCUAAUCAACAUCUCUGAUCAACUAUAUUAUCCAAUGUUACCAAACAAUUGACUGAUCAUCAGACUUAACAAUUAAGCUAAUCAAUCAGAUGAUCACCUUGAUAAUCAACUAAUAACUUGUGAGAAAAUAGACUCAUCUGCUUAUGGAUAAUCAAAGAGACGAAAAUAUCAAUUAAACCAAUUCGAAUUUUUUUUUCUCCAAAUUCUAAAAUAAUCAAUCAUCAUCAUUUCGACGUGUUACCUGUCACACUAUUCAUCCUGAUUCCAAGCAUUCGGAGCAGAAACUUUUCUAUCUUCACCCUGAAAGUUAAUUUCUCUCUCUCUCUCUCUCUCUCUCUCUCUCAUCAUCAUCAUCAUCUCAUCUUCAAUGGAUUAAAUUGCUGUUUGAUUCCUAAUUCCUAAUCAAUUGGUUACCAGCGAUUAUAAUUAUUGAUGAAGUGAAAAAUUUACUAUUCUCACAAACUUAUUUUCGCGGUUGAAUAUUUCUUACCUUCUCUCUCUUUUCAUCAUCAUCAUCAUCAUCAUCAUUAGUAUUUUCUCUUUCUUUUUACCUUUUCCUCUUUUCCUCUUCUCUUCUUCUCUCUCACUAAUGACUUGCAAACUAAAGCCAUUAAAUAAACAUCUCUAAUGAGCAUCUUUCCUUACACAGUGUAACUACCUGGAUAAAAAGUUUUCCUUAAAUAAAAAAUUAUUAACUCUCAAUGUAAUUAUUAUGAUAAUUUUUUUCUUCUUCUUCAAUCUCUGUGUUUGUUUACCCAGGGAAACCUGAAUCUCCGUGCAAAAUCAUG
Molecule: long non-coding RNA, 2711 nt
Organism: Panonychus citri (citrus red mite)
Lineage: Eukaryota; Metazoa; Arthropoda; Arachnida; Trombidiformes; Tetranychidae
Exons: 3
Source: RefSeq, a predicted model, not a curated record